UAAGCAAUGGGGAACCACAGGAAG
This 24-nucleotide non-coding RNA is filed under the name Mus musculus (house mouse). The record is from RNAcentral. Lineage: Eukaryota; Metazoa; Chordata; Mammalia; Rodentia; Muridae.